CCGGCGACCGGCGCACGGGUGAGUAACACGUAUGUAACCUGCCCUAUGCAGGGGGAUAACCCGGAGAAAUCCGGACUAAUACCGCGUGGUACAUCUGUGGGGCAUCCCACGGGUGUUAAAAGGAAGCGAUUCCGGCGGAGGAUGGGCAUGCGGCGCAUUAGCUAGUUGGCGGGGUAACGGCCCACCAAGGCGACGAUGCGUAGGGGUUCUGAGAGGAAGGUCCCCCACACUGGUACUGAGACACGGACCAGACUCCUACGGAAGGCAGCAG
Molecule: ribosomal RNA, 271 nt
Filed under: uncultured bacterium
Lineage: Bacteria
Description: partial 16S ribosomal RNA
Rfam family: Bacterial small subunit ribosomal RNA
Source: RNAcentral